Molecule: ribosomal RNA, 301 nt
Filed under: uncultured bacterium
Lineage: Bacteria
Description: partial 16S ribosomal RNA
Rfam family: Bacterial small subunit ribosomal RNA
Source: RNAcentral
CAGUCGCCGCGGGAAUACGAAGGGGGCAAGCGUUGUUCGGAAUUACUGGGCGUAAAGGGCGCGUAGGCGGUGUACCAAGUUAGAUGUGAAAGCCCUGGGCUCAACCUAGGAAUUGCAUUUGAUACUGUUUGGCUUGAGUUCGGGAGAGGUGAGUGGAAUUCCCAGUGUAGAGGUGAAAUUCGUAGAUAUUGGGAAGAACACCAGUGGCGAAGGCGACUCACUGGACCGACACUGACGCUGAGGCGCGAAAGCGUGGGGAGCAAACAGGAUUAGAUACCCCUGUAGUCCCUGUCUCUUAUAC